AGAGUUUGAUCAUGGCUCAGAGUGAACGCUGGCGGCGUGGAUUAGGCAUGCAAGUCGAGCGAUCUUUUUUGACGAACUCUUUGAAGCUUGUGAUGUUCGCUUCGGUGAAUGGAUCUUGCGGAUGAGGGCUAGUCGUUUAAGAGAGCGGCAAAUGGGUUAGUAAUACGCGGGUAACCUGCCCUGAAAUGAGGGAUAGUUCCGGGAAACCGGUAGUAAUACCUCGUACGCCCCGUACUUGAAAUAGUACGGGGGAAAGAUGGGGAUCGUAAGACCUGUCGUUUGAGGAAGGGCCCACGCGGUAUCAGCUAGUUGGUGAGGUAAUGGCUCACCAAGGCUUAGACGCCUAGCAGGCAUUAGUGUGUGACCUGCAACACCGGAACUGAGAUACUGUCCGGACUCCUACGGGAGGCUGCAGUCGAGAACAUUUCCCAAUGCGCGAAGGCGUGAGGAUGCGACGCCGCGUGAAGGAUGAAGGCCUUCGGGUCGUAAACUUCUUUUAUAGAGGAAGAACAACCCUAUGUUAAUACCAUGGGGUGCUGACGUUACUUUAUGAAUAAGCAACGGCUAAAUCCGUGCCAGCAGCCGCGGUAAUACGGAUGUUGCAAGCGUUACUCGGAAUUAUUGGGUGUAAAGGGUCCGCAGGCGGUUUGAUAAGUCAGANGUGAAAUCCUUCGGCUCAACCGGAGAAUUGCCCCUGAUACUGUCAGGCUGGAGGAUGUGAGAGGAGAGUGGAACUGCAUGUGUAAAGGUGAAAUUUGUGGAUAUAUGCAGGAACGCCAACAGUGAAGACAACUCUCUGGCGCAUUUCUGACGCUCAUGGACGAAAGCGUGGGUAGCAAACAGGAUUAGAUACCCAGGUAGUCCACGCUGUAACGANGAUCACUGGCUGUCUCUGCCUGUGCAGGGNCG
Molecule: ribosomal RNA, 909 nt
Filed under: uncultured bacterium
Lineage: Bacteria
Description: bacterial SSU rRNA
Rfam family: Bacterial small subunit ribosomal RNA
Source: RNAcentral